GAUGAACGCUGGCGGCGUGCCUAACACAUGCAAGUCGAGCGAUCUUCUUCGGAAGAGAGCGGCGGACGGGUGAGUAACGCGUGGGUAACCUGCCUCAUACACAUGGAUAACAUACCGAAAGGUAUGCUAAUACAAGAUGAUAUAAGAGAUUCGCAUGAAUUUCUUAUCAAAGCUUUUGCGGUAUGAGAUGGACCCGCGUCUGAUUAGCUAGUUGGUAAGGUAAUGGCUUACCAAGGCUUCGAUCAGUAGCCGACCUGAGAGGGUGAUCGGCCACAUUGGAACUGAGACACGGUCCAAACUCCUACGGGAGGCAGCAGUGGGGAAUAUUGCACAAUGGGCGAAAGCCUGAUGCAGCAACGCCGCGUGAGCGAUGAAGGCCUUCGGGUCGUAAAGCUCUGUCCUCAAGGAAGAUAAUGACGGUACUUGAGGAGGAAGCCCCGG
This 441-nucleotide ribosomal RNA is filed under the name uncultured bacterium. RNAcentral describes it as "bacterial SSU rRNA". It matches the Rfam family "Bacterial small subunit ribosomal RNA", at positions 28 to 496 of the family's 1533-position model. The record is from RNAcentral.